This 531-nucleotide long non-coding RNA is filed under the name Rattus norvegicus (Norway rat). RNAcentral describes it as "long non-coding RNA NONRATT021882". Lineage: Eukaryota; Metazoa; Chordata; Mammalia; Rodentia; Muridae. The record is from RNAcentral.
AGAGAACAGGGAGACUGUGGAAAAUGCCUUCAGAAAAUCAAAGAGAAGUUAUGACUCUUCUCUUUCCUUUAAUGUGUUAAGUUAUUCUGACUCAAUCAUAGACUUGUCAAUCCAAUAUUGGAAAUAACAGUUUUCAUUUGGAAGAUUGGUUCUGGACAUUUUCAGAGACAUUUGAAAAUUCACAACUGUCUUGUAUGAAGUUACAUUUGCAGCAGAUAAAAUUGAUACAAGGUCUAGAUUUUGAACAAAUGUUAGUGCAUGUGUCAAAACUCCUAAUCUUUCAUUAACUGGUCAUGUUAAAAUUACUUUUAUUUCUCCUACAGUAUUUAAUGUAAGUUAUAGUGAUUGUAUAUAGUCUAAUUUUGUACUGUAUUGAAAUCUGACAUACCACCAGCUUUUGUUUUAUUGCUUGUAUUGUAGGACCUUGAUAUUCUGAAAAAAGGCUUACAAAUAUUGGAAGAAGUAAAAGAUAAAAGUUUUAAAGUUGCCCCCCCUAGACACAAAGUUUAGAGCAGAAAAAAAAAAAAAAAA